Molecule: unclassified non-coding RNA, 237 nt
Filed under: uncultured fungus
Lineage: Eukaryota; Fungi
Description: sequence contains ITS1, 5.8S rRNA gene
Rfam family: 5.8S ribosomal RNA (bases 189-237)
Source: RNAcentral
UUUCCGUUGGUGAACCAGCGGAAGGAUCAUUACAGAGAUCAUGCCCUCACGGGUAGACCUCCCACCCUGUUUAUAUACUAUUGUUGCUUUGGCGGGCCGCCUCGGCCACCGGCUCCGGCUGGUGCGUGCCCGCCAGAGGACCCCAAACUCUGAAUGUUAGUGUCGUCUGAGUACUAUCUAAUAGUUAAAACUUUCAACAACGGAUCUCUUGGUUCUGGCAUCGAUGAAGAACGCAGC